Molecule: ribosomal RNA, 497 nt
Filed under: uncultured bacterium
Lineage: Bacteria
Description: partial 16S ribosomal RNA
Rfam family: Bacterial small subunit ribosomal RNA
Source: RNAcentral
GAUGAACGCUGGCGGCGUGCCUAAUACAUGCAAGUCGAGCGAACGGACAAGAAGCUUGCUUCUCUGAUGUUAGCGGCGGACGGGUGAGUAACACGUGGAUAACCUACCUAUAAGACUGGGAUAACUUCGGGAAACCGGAGCUAAUACCGGAUAAUAUUUUGAACCGCAUGGUUCAAAAGUGAAAGACGGUCUUGCUGUCACUUAUAGAUGGAUCCGCGCUGCAUUAGCUAGUUGGUAAGGUAACGGCUUACCAAGGCAACGAUGCAUAGCCGACCUGAGAGGGUGAUCGGCCACACUCGAACUGAGACACGGUCCAGACUCCUACGGGAGGCAGCAGUAGGGAAUCUUCCGCAAUGGGCGAAAGCCUGACGGAGCAACGCCGCGUGAGUGAUGAAGGUCUUCGGAUCGUAAAACUCUGUUAUUAGGGAAGAACAUAUGUGUAAGUAACUGUGCACAUCUUGACGGUACCUAAUCAGAAAGCCACGGCUAACUACGUG